GGGCUACUACACCGGAUCCCAUCAGAACUCCGCAGUUAAGCGCCCUUGGGCCGGAUCAGUACUGGGAUGGGUGACCU
Molecule: ribosomal RNA, 77 nt
Filed under: Anthoceros agrestis
Lineage: Eukaryota; Viridiplantae; Streptophyta; Anthocerotopsida; Anthocerotales; Anthocerotaceae
Source: RNAcentral